RNAcentral lists this ribosomal RNA (449 nucleotides) under uncultured bacterium. RNAcentral describes it as "bacterial SSU rRNA". It matches the Rfam family "Bacterial small subunit ribosomal RNA", at positions 329 to 797 of the family's 1533-position model. The record is from RNAcentral.
GACCAGACUCCUACGGGAGGCAGCAGUGGGGGAUAUUGCACAAUGGGGGGAACCCUGAUGCAGCGACGCCGCGUGGGUGAAGGAGUACUUCGGUACGUAAAGCCCUAUCAGCAGGAAAGAAAAUGACGGUACCUGACUAAGAAGCCCCGGCUAACUACGUGCCAGCAGCCGCGGUAAUACGUAGGGGGCAAGCGUUAUCCGGAUUUACUGGGUGUAAAGGGAGCGUAGACGGCGAUGCAAGCCAGAUGUGAAAGCCCGGGGCUCAACCCCGGGACUGCAUUUGGAACUGUGUGGCUGGAGUGUCGGAGAGGCAGGCGGAAUUCCUAGUGUAGCGGUGAAAUGCGUAGAUAUUAGGAGGAACACCAGUGGCGAAGGCGGCCUGCUGGACGAUGACUGACGUUGAGGCUCGAAAGCGUGGGGAGCAAACAGGAUUAGAUACCCUCGUACCA